Molecule: ribosomal RNA, 300 nt
Filed under: uncultured Lysobacteraceae bacterium
Lineage: Bacteria; Pseudomonadati; Pseudomonadota; Gammaproteobacteria; Lysobacterales; Lysobacteraceae
Description: bacterial SSU rRNA
Rfam family: Bacterial small subunit ribosomal RNA
Source: RNAcentral
GCAUCGGGAUCUACCCAAACGUGGGGGAUAACGUAGGGAAACUUACGCUAAUACCGCAUACGUCCUAUGGGAGAAAGCGGGGGACCGAAAGGCCUCGCGCGGUUGGACGAACCGAUGUUCGAUUAGCUAGUUGGUAGGGUAAUGGCCUACCAAGGCGACGAUCGAUAGCUGGUCUGAGAGGAUGAUCAGCCACACUGGAACUGAGACACGGUCCAGACUCCUACGGGAGGCAGCAGUGGGGAAUAUUGGACAAUGGGCGCAAGCCUGAUCCAGCAAUGCCGCGUGUGUGAAGAAGGCCUC